GUCAGAGAGGAGGAGGAGUCAGAGAGGAAGAGGAGUCAGAGAGGAGGAGUCAGAGAGGAAGAGGAGUCAGAGAGGAGGGGUCGGAGUUCUGUUAAAGUUCUGGUCAGAACUGUGGUUUAAAUAUAAAAUACUUUUCUCAGACAGAGCGUGGUUCUGUUCCGUCCUACUGACCAGGCUAA
Molecule: long non-coding RNA, 179 nt
Organism: Melanotaenia boesemani (Boeseman's rainbowfish)
Lineage: Eukaryota; Metazoa; Chordata; Actinopteri; Atheriniformes; Melanotaeniidae
Exons: 4
Source: RefSeq, a predicted model, not a curated record